CCUACGGGUGGCAGCAGUCGAGAAUCAUGCUCAAUGGGGGAAACCCUGAAGGAGCAACGCCGCGUGGAGGAAGGAGGGUUUCGGGUUGGAAACUCCUUUUGAUGGAGAAGAUAAUGACAAUGUCUGAAGAAUAAGCACCAGCUAACUCCGUGCCAGCAGCAGCAGUAAUACGGAGGGUGCAAGCGUUACUCGGGAUCGGUGGGCGUAAGGCGCGCGUAGGCGGGAUAGUAAGUCAAAUGUGAAAGCCAAGGGCUUAACCCUCGAACUGCAUAUGAAACUGUUAUUCUAGAGUAUUGGAGGGGGAGGUGGAAUUCUCGGUGUAGGAGUAAAAUGCGUAGAGAUCGAGAGGAAUACUCGUGGCGAAGGCGAGUUCCUAGAACUUAACUGACGCUGAGGCGCGAAAGCCAGGGGAGCGAAAGGGAUUAGAUACCCGAGUAGUC
RNAcentral lists this ribosomal RNA (440 nucleotides) under uncultured bacterium. RNAcentral describes it as "partial 16S ribosomal RNA". It matches the Rfam family "Bacterial small subunit ribosomal RNA", at positions 338 to 795 of the family's 1533-position model. The record is from RNAcentral.